GAUGAACGCUGGCGGCGUGCCUAAUACAUGCAAGUCGAGCGAACGGACGAGAAGCUUGCUUUUCUGAUGUUAGCGGCGGACGGGUGAGUAACACGUGGAUAACCUACCUAUAAGACUGGGAUAACUUCGGGAAACCGGAGCUAAUACCGGAUAAUAUUUUGAACCGCAUGGUUCAAAAGUGAAAGACGGUCUUGCUGUCACUUAUAGAUGGAUCCGCGCUGCAUUAGCUAGUUGGUAAGGUAACGGCUUACCAAGGCAACGAUGCAUAGCCGACCUGAGAGGGUGAUCGGCCACACUGGAACUGAGACACGGUCCAGACUCCUACGGGAGGCAGCAGUAGGGAAUCUUCCGCAAUGGGCGAAAGCCUGACGGAGCAACGCCGCGUGAGUGAUGAAGGUCUUCGGAUCGUAAAACUCUGUUAUUAGGGAAGAACAUAUGUGUAAGUAACUGUGCACAUCUUGACGGUACCGAAUCAGAAAGCCACGGCUAACUACGUG
This 497-nucleotide ribosomal RNA is filed under the name uncultured bacterium. RNAcentral describes it as "partial 16S ribosomal RNA". It matches the Rfam family "Bacterial small subunit ribosomal RNA", at positions 28 to 507 of the family's 1533-position model. The record is from RNAcentral.